AUGUACUGCCAGUCGUGCAAGAACGUGUACGACGAGGAGGACGCCGGGACCUGCAAGGAGUGCUACGAGGAGGCCAGCGAGACGGAGGAGGAGCUCAAGCGCGAGAUCGACGACCUCCGCUCCCGCCUCCUCUUCCUGCGCCUCCCCUCCCCCACGCUCGACGCCUCCGCCGCCGGCCACUCCGACCUCCUCCUCCACGCCAUCCCCGCCUCCUCGACCUCCCCCUCCGGCGACGCCGACGGGGCCCGCCUCGACACCCCCGCCGUCCCUGCCCACCGCGUCAUCCUCGCCAGCAGAUCUCCUGUAUUCAGAGCAAUGCUUGACAGCGAGAUGGAAGAGAGCCGGAGCGGCGUCAUCAAGAUGUACGACGUGUCCUACGAUGUCCUCCGUGCUUUUGUCCACUACAUGUACACGGGCGAGGCUCUCCUGGACGAGCAAAUGGCCUGCGAUCUCCUGGUGUUGGCCGAGAAGUACGAGGUAAAGCACCUGAAGACCUACUGCGAGAAGUUCAUCACGUCCAAGGUGAACAACGACAACGCCAUCGUCCAUUACGCGUUUGCGCACCGGCACGGCGCGAAGCAGCUGCUCGAGGCCUCCAUGUCGGCGCUCAUGGAUAGCAUGCCCACGCUGGCGGAGCGGGAAGAGUACAAGGAGCUGGUCGAGAGGGACCCGAGGAUCCUCGUGGAGAUCUACGAGACCUAUGUCAGCCGACAGGACAACACUGCUGACGAGAGGGAUUCAGAUUGCUGCUGUAGAAAGUGA
This 762-nucleotide ribosomal RNA is filed under the name Triticum aestivum (bread wheat). RNAcentral describes it as "partial small subunit ribosomal RNA". The record is from RNAcentral. Lineage: Eukaryota; Viridiplantae; Streptophyta; Magnoliopsida; Poales; Poaceae.